AUUUUAUUGAGAGUUUGAUCCUGGCUCAGGAUGAACGCUGGCGGCGUGCUUAACACAUGCAAGUCGAACGGAGUGCUCAUGACGGAGGAUUCGUCCAACGGAUU
This 104-nucleotide ribosomal RNA is filed under the name Flavonifractor sp. An52. RNAcentral's name for it is "partial 16S ribosomal RNA". It matches the Rfam family "Bacterial small subunit ribosomal RNA", at positions 1 to 108 of the family's 1533-position model. The record is from RNAcentral. RNAcentral also lists the same sequence under 1 other name. Lineage: Bacteria; Bacillati; Bacillota; Clostridia; Eubacteriales; Oscillospiraceae.